UACGAAGGGGGCUAGCGUUGUUCGGAAUUACUGGGCGUAAAGCGCGCGUAGGCGGUUAUGUAAGUCAGGGGUGAAAUCCCGGGGCUCAACCCUGGAACUGCCUUUGAGACUGCAUAGCUUGAGAACGGAAGAGGUGAGUGGAAUUCCCAGUGUAGAGGUGAAAUUCGUAGAUAUUGGGAAGAACACCGGUGGCGAAGGCGGCUCACUGGUCCGUUUCUGACGCUGAGGCGCGAAAGCGUGGGGAG
Molecule: ribosomal RNA, 245 nt
Filed under: uncultured bacterium
Lineage: Bacteria
Description: partial 16S ribosomal RNA
Rfam family: Bacterial small subunit ribosomal RNA
Source: RNAcentral